UGGUAUCCCUAGGGUUUUGGGCAAGGACGGCUUUUCUACCAUAAAACUGAACAUUAAAAAAGCGAGACUGACCUGAGAUCUUGGCAAACAAUGGAAACAAAAAAUGUAGCAAAACAAAAAUUCAUCUCCAACAUUUACUUUACCAUCAUCUGCUCUGCUUUUGCAGUACAACACACAAGCUUCAAGACAAAAGGAGUGAUUAGAAUUCUCAAGACUUUGAGUACCUCUGUUGUCCACUUCAAUAUUUUUUUAAAUAUCAAACU
This 263-nucleotide long non-coding RNA is filed under the name Spirodela polyrhiza (greater duckweed). Its description in RNAcentral is "long non-coding RNA (SPOL_LNC001179)". Lineage: Eukaryota; Viridiplantae; Streptophyta; Magnoliopsida; Alismatales; Araceae. The record is from RNAcentral.